RNAcentral lists this ribosomal RNA (229 nucleotides) under uncultured bacterium. RNAcentral describes it as "partial 16S ribosomal RNA". It matches the Rfam family "Bacterial small subunit ribosomal RNA", at positions 568 to 796 of the family's 1533-position model. The record is from RNAcentral.
UGCGCAGGCGGCCUGAUAAGUCAGGGGUGAAAUAUGUCGGCUUAACCGGCAAACGGCCCCUGAAACUGCCAGGCUUGAGUCCGGGAGAGGUUAGUGGAAUUCCUGGUGUAGCGGUGAAAUGCGUAAAUAUCAGGAGGAACACCAAUGGCGAAGGCAGCUAACUGGCCCGGUACUGACGCUCAGGCACGAAAGCUAGGGGAGCGAACAGGAUUAGAUACCCUGGUAGUCC